GAGGAGGCCCUUUUCAGGGCCACUAUCAAAUAAAGAAAAUUAUUAU
Molecule: non-coding RNA, 46 nt
Organism: Beta vulgaris subsp. vulgaris (sugar beet)
Lineage: Eukaryota; Viridiplantae; Streptophyta; Magnoliopsida; Caryophyllales; Amaranthaceae
Source: Rfam